GGGUCACAGGCACCUACAUUUCCGUUUCCGGGUCGCCUCGGGAGCCAUGGCGACCGCGUUGGAACUGAAGUAUCUGCUGACAUUAGGCAGAUGGCGCCGCGGCCUUGGAGUACUUCCCCAGUCUCGCGCUCUCGCCGCCCUCGUGCCCGGCGUAUCCCAGGUGGAUAACAAGUCCGAUUUUCUGGGGAAGAGGCCCCAUCGCCGGCACCCUGGCAUCCUGCAGCUGCCGCGCGUGCGGCUGCCGCAAGCCCUGGCUGACGCCGCGCAGUUACUGCUGCUCGAGAGGUCUAUGCCCAAUGUGGAGAAGCAGGUGCAAGCACUGACCAAUUAUCUCUGGAGCCGGCAUUUACCUAUAGAGCCAGAGGAGUUGCAAAGACGGGCUGUACAUCUUGAGAAAAAAUUCUUGGAAAACCCAGACUCAUCUCAGACAGAGGAGAAACUUUGUGGAGCAGUGCUGCAUGCCCUGCGCAGAACUACCUACCACUGGCGAGAACUGAGCUACAAUGAGGGACUGAGCCUGGUGUACAUGGCAGCAAGACUGGAUGGUGGCUUUGCAGCAGUCUCCAGGGCAUUCCAUGAGAUCCGGGCUCGAAUUCCAGAGUUCCAACCACAAACCUUGAUGGACUUUGGUUCGGGUACUGGUUCUGUCACCUGGGCUGCUCAUAGUACUUGGGGCCAGAGCCUACGUGAAUAUAUGUGUGUGGACAGCUCAGCUGCCAUGUUGGAUUUGGCAGAAAAGCUACUGAAAGGUGGUUCUGAAUCUGGGGAGCCUUAUGUUCCAGGUGUCUUUUUCAGACAGUUUCUACCUGUAUCACCCAAGGUACAAUUCGAUGUGGUGGUCUCAGCCUUUUCCCUAAGUGAACUACCCAGCAAGGCUGACCGCACGGAGGUAGUCCAAACCUUAUGGCGCAAGACAAGUCAUUUUCUGAUACUGGUGGAGAAUGGAACAAAAGCUGGGCACUGCCUUCUCAUGGAUGCUCGGGACCUGGUCCUUAAGGGGAGAGAGAAGUCUCCUUUGGACCCUCGACCUGGUUUUGUCUUUGCCCCCUGUCCUCAUGAACUUCCUUGUCCUCAGUUGACAGCAUCUAAGCCCCUGGCCUGUAGCUUUUCCCAGGCUUACCAUCCCAUCCCCUUCAGCUGGUCUCUAUAUCCUUAUCUUAGAACAAGAAGCCAAAGGAGGAAAAGUUCUCAAUGGUAAUCCUUGCCCGAGGGUCUGCAGAGGAGGCUAAUCGCUGGCCCCGUAUCACUCAGCCUGUCCUUAAACGGCCACGCCAUGUGCAUUGUCACCUGUGCUGUCCAGAUGGGCAUAUGCAGCAUGCUGUGAUCACAGGCCGCCGGCAUGGCAGGGAUUUGUAUCGCUGUGCCCGUGUCAGCUCCUGGGGAGAUCUUUUACCUGUGACCACGCCGCCUGAGCUUCCUCCGUCCCCUGCUAAAGAUCCCCCUGAAAGCUGACAAGGAUAUGUAACAAAAAUUUUCUUCUGUCAGGCCUGCCAAGGCUAAAGCUACCUGGUAUCCAGGAUGGAAGGGCUGAUACUCCUAUACAUCUGUGUGUGUUUGAGGUUUUAAUAAAAAUAAAAAGUUUUCAAAGAAUGGAAA
This is a non-coding RNA of Ceratotherium simum simum (southern white rhinoceros), 1596 nucleotides long. Lineage: Eukaryota; Metazoa; Chordata; Mammalia; Perissodactyla; Rhinocerotidae. The record is from RefSeq and is a predicted model, not a curated record.